CCUACGGGAGGCAGCAGUGGGGAAUUUUGGACAAUGGGCGCAAGCCUGAUCCAGCAAUGCCGCGUGAGUGAAGAAGGCCUUCGGGUUGUAAAGCUCUUUUGUCAGGGAAGAAAAGGGUCUGGCUAAUAUCUAGGCCUCAUGACGGUACCUGAAGAAUAAGCACCGGCUAACUACGUGCCAGCAGCCGCGGUAAUACGUAGGGUGCAAGCGUUAAUCGGAAUUACUGGGCGUAAAGCGUGCGCAGGCGGUUUUGUAAGACUGUCGUGAAAUCCCCGGGCUCAACCUGGGAAUGGCGAUGGUGACUGCAAGGCUAGAGUUUGGCAGAGGGGGGUAGAAUUCCACGUGUAGCAGUGAAAUGCGUAGAUAUGUGGAGGAACACCGAUGGCGAAGGCAGCCCCCUGGGUCAAAACUGACGCUCAUGCACGAAAGCGUGGGGAGCAAACAGGAUUAGAUACCCUGGUAGUCCACGCCCUAAACCGAUGUCUACUAGUUGUCGGGUCUUAAUUGACUUGGUAACGCAGCUAACGCGUGAAGUAGACCGCCUGGGGAGUACGGUCGCAAGAUUAAAACUCAAAUGAGUAGAGNGNGAGAGNGCGACGACGACGACGAGGAGGAGG
This 617-nucleotide ribosomal RNA is filed under the name uncultured bacterium. RNAcentral's name for it is "bacterial SSU rRNA". It matches the Rfam family "Bacterial small subunit ribosomal RNA", at positions 338 to 944 of the family's 1533-position model. The record is from RNAcentral.